This 788-nucleotide ribosomal RNA is filed under the name uncultured crenarchaeote. RNAcentral describes it as "bacterial SSU rRNA". It matches the Rfam family "Archaeal small subunit ribosomal RNA", at positions 85 to 876 of the family's 1478-position model. RNAcentral also lists the same sequence under 1 other name. The record is from RNAcentral. Lineage: Archaea; Thermoproteati; Thermoproteota.
ACUGCUCAGUAACACGUAGUCAACAUGCCCAGGGGACGUGGAUAACCUCGGGAAACUGAGGAUAAACCGCGAUAGGUCAUCACUUCUGGAAUGGGUAAUGACUUAAACCUAUAUGGCCCCUGGAUUGGACUGCGGCCGAUCAGGCUGUUGGUGAGGUAAUGGCCCACCAAACCUGUAACCGGUACGGGCUCUGAGAGGAGGAGCCCGGAGAUGGGCACUGAGACAAGGGCCCAGGCCCUAUGGGGCGCAGCAGGCGCGAAACCUCUGCAAUAGGCGAAAGCUUGACAGGGUUACUCUGAGUGAUUUCCGUUAAGGAGAUCUUUUGGCACCUCUAAAAAUGGUGCAGAAUAAGGGGUGGGCAAGUCUGGUGUCAGCCGCCGCGGUAAUACCAGCACCCCGAGUGGUCGGGACGUUUAUUGGGCCUAAAGCAUCCGUAGCCGGUUCUACAAGUCUUCCGUUAAAUCCACCUGCUUAACAGAUGGGCUGCGGAAGAUACUAUAGAGCUAGGAGGCGGGAGAGGCAAGCGGUACUCGAUGGGUAGGGGUAAAAUCCGUUGAUCCAUUGAAGACCACCAGUGGCGAAGGCGGCUUGCCAGAACGCGCUCGACGGUGAGGGAUGAAAGCUGGGGGAGCAAACCGGAUUAGAUACCCGGGUAGUCCCAGCUGUAAACGAUGCAGACUCGGUGAUGAAUUGGCUUAUUGCUAAUUCAGUGCCGCAGGGAAGCCGUUAAGUUUGCCGCCUGGGGAGUACGGUCGCAAGACUGAAACUUAAAGGAAUUGGCGGGGGAG